This is a long non-coding RNA of Styela clava, 3431 nucleotides long. RefSeq lists it as uncharacterized. NCBI's taxonomy places the organism in Eukaryota, Metazoa, Chordata, Ascidiacea, Stolidobranchia, Styelidae. The record is from RefSeq and is a predicted model, not a curated record.
AAAAUAGUUGGCAUUGCUUUUAUUAUUUAUGCCUACAUGUUUACAAACGUUAAUGAAAGGGUAUAGAAAUAAUGUUUGGGGUCAAAGCUCAAACGUUCGACGUUUUGCACGCACGUGAUCCGGGAAUUAUGAUUUGCACGUGGGAAUUUCUGAUUGCAUGCUUGAUGUCUCGUGCAAAAAGGCCAUGAAAUCCAGACCUUUGAGAUUAACACGGAAGAUACAUCAGAGUCGGUCUUUGUAAACUUUUUUACAUACUUCGUCAUUCGAUGAUUUCAAUGUAUCCUGAAAAACGAGAAAACAAUCUGCGAGUAGGUGUUUAGAAGAUUGCAUAUAGGCCUAUGGAAACAUGGUGACCUAAUAAAUAUUAGGAAAUACCAUAUAGGAAAUUGCUGAAUCUAAUUUGUUCAAUUGAUUUUAAUCAAGAUGAUUCGGAUUCUCAAAAGCACGAAGAAAAAACAGGAAAUCCUUGAGUUGUUGCUCCUCUUCUUGCUCAUAUUUUCGAAGAAUGUCGAAUCAUUCAACGAAUCAUCGAUGCAUGAGAAGACAAUCAUAGACAUGUGAAAGCAAAUAUGGGUCAUCUCACAAAUAUAACUAAUUCUAUUGUUGAAGGAUUAGAAAAAGAAGUAAAUUGCGCAAUGUUGAAAAGAUUUUUGAGUGACAUCAGCACGAUUGUUUCAAGCUGUUUGUAAAGCCAGAGUUGCUCAUUUUGAAUGAUGAAGAACAUUCUAAUAAAAGUGAUGAUGAUAUUAGGGAUGGAAGACCAAAUACUUUUGCUGACGGCGUUCGAGGAAGCCCAACAUCGAACACGAUAUCUACAACACCCACUGUCACUGUAAUGCAUCGGUCAUAUUCUGGCAGUAAUACUUGGAAGUAGUGAUAGUAAUGAAAGUCCGGUUGGUAGUCCGUUACCCAAGGCAAUUAAGUUUCUGGAUGCAGAAGAGCGUAUGGACACCUCACAAUCUCUUGGAUGGAAGGCUGAUUUUGACCAUGAUUUUGAGAGUGGUAGUAGCAAUGAAAGUUAUUUAAAAGGUAGUUCCGCGUCGAAUCUUCCGAUUCAGAUGAAAAAAAGUUUUAGAUGGUGAUCAUAUGAUGGAUGUUGGACAGGAUUCCAAAGUGGAUGAAAUUGUUAUAUCGUCGAAUGCCAAUACAGCAAAUGAAAACUAGGCCGAUAUUGAAAUAUUAAAUAGCAACACUGAAGAUGUAGUGUCCAGAAGUGAAUCUUCGAAACAACAGGUAUCUUCGCAAGAACAAACUUCUGCUUCAUCAUAUUCUGCAGCGGAUUCAACCAGUUAAAUUACAAAUUUAGAAGAUUUGGAUGCAGGAUCUCCGAUGACUGUCACAUAUCAACAUUCACCAGGUUCUGAUGUAGAUGACCAAAGGACGGAUAAAAGUACGAUUACUGUGACUUCAAGUAAUGGAGGUGAAAAUGUAUCUGAUAUUGAUGACAGGGAGCAAGGCUGCUAACAUUGAAAUAUCUUAUGGCGAUAACAAUAGUACAGAAUCAACUGAUCCUACUCCAGCGAUCGAAAGUCUGGUGCAACAGAGUGCUGUAAGUGACACUAGUGAUGCGGCUGACGCUGCUAGUUCAGGUGAUGAUAAUUGGUUAAUUACAGAAAUAAUCCUGUCCCUGACACAUCCAAAUGCUUCUGCUACACAUUUUGGCGUCGUGUCGCAGUGAGAAGGCUCUGAAUCUACAGGGAAUCCCCUGAAACAUGGGUUGUCUCACUAUGUGCAACACCAUGGGGUUUCUUCCUCAUCUGCCGUGGAUACAAAACUUACUGACAUUGUCACCUCUGAGGAUACCAGAGAUUCAUCGGCAGUAAAUCCACCAUCCGAAAUCAAAAUGAAUGGUCCUGCAUGAUUGUCAUGCUCAAUCCAAAGAAAUGGUUCCUAUUCAGUCUUCCAUCGAACGUGGAGGACAAACUGCGCGAGUCCAGUCUUUCAUUGGUCCAAAAUAUUGGAACCGAAACAAUACGAAGUGCUGUUCAAUCAAAUACUUUUAAAUACAUGUUAAACACUUGUUGUUAAACAUUUAUUGUGACAUAUAAAUAAGUUCUGUUUUUCUGUUUCAAAUCGGUAUUUACAAUAUUUUUGAAACAAUGGAGAAAUUGAUUUAUGAUAUAAAUGUAUGUAUGUAAUUUGAUAAUGUAUAGUUGCUGUCAACCUUGUCAGUGACAACAGUGACUGUUGCUAUUGGCGUCGAAUGUUUAAUUUAUUAGUCGUCUUCACUAAUUGUCUGCCCCAAUCCACCUGUCUGUUAUGACAAUUGUUUUGCGAGAUUUUCUUUACUCAUCCUCAUUAGUAGAAUCUUUUAUCAUUUAUGAGCUAACUUGCUUGGUGUAGUGCUUGAUUGUCCAAUAAUUUUCACCAUGUGAAGACUUCAAAUUAAAAUAGGUAAAACUCAUGACUGAUUCAAUUAGAGGAAUAUUUAUGAGUUGACACCAAUAUGUAGUUCAUUCUAUUUCUGACUCAAAUUUUGAAGUCCAUUCACAUUUUCUUCAGAUUGAAUUAUGGUUUGAUUAGAUUUUAUUUAUUUGUUUACAAUAAUGUCUGGAAGAGCUGGCCAUCAAUAUGAAGUCUCAAAUAGCUAGUAAUUAACGUAUAUCAUUUGAUGGAUGCUGAUUGUGAAGAGUGGAAGGAAACCUCUAUGACGACGGAAUCUGAUAUAAUUAGAUAAUAUCACUGUAUCACUGCGGAUCCCCCAACAAAGUCGCCUUAGAAUUUACUUGUGUAAAGAACUGGAUCGUGAAGUCAUCAGUAUUACUUCUGACAGUUGCGUUACUCAAGAAUGUAAGAUAAAUCGUGUAACUGCUUCUUCUGAAAUCAGCCAUACAUAUGAAGCAGAUGAUAAACAGAUUGUUUCAAGUUGUGUAGACUGAAACUGAAUUUCCGUAGAUUGGUGUCAUUUUAAAUGAGUCUGUUCCAUUGCUAAUGUAAAAAAUGAACUGAGCCUUUUGAACUAACUAAGGAUUGGAUGGGACAAAUAGUAAGUAGUGAGUGAGUAGAUAUACGAUUCAAAACAUAAGAUUCUUUCUCAGUUUAAUAUUUUCAUGUUGUCAUUAUAUUCAUUCCCCUGAAAUUCAUGUCGAAAUACAAACUGGAUUUCGAAGAUAUAUACUGGAAGGGCCACGUUUCACGCUAUCAAAUAAUGAUAUUGAAUAUCGUGAGUGGUUACAUUUUUUUGACAAUUUAUUUUGCAGUUUCACGUAGAAAUAGAGUCGAAAGAUUAGAGCAGCGUUCCUCCCCAACUGGGUCAGAUUUCCUACACAGGGAAGAAUUUUGUUGUUGUGGGGGAAACAAUUUGACUUUGUAUUUAGUGUAGUUUUAUUGAUAUUAGGAUUAGGAUUUACAUAUUUAUCCCGGGGGAGAGGAAAGCCGAUAAGACGGCUUAUUCAUAUGGCGAUCCACGGCCUCUCGUCCGGUUACCAUUC